RNAcentral lists this ribosomal RNA (2058 nucleotides) under Klebsiella pneumoniae. Its description in RNAcentral is "partial 23S ribosomal RNA". It matches the Rfam family "Bacterial large subunit ribosomal RNA", at positions 890 to 2925 of the family's 2925-position model. Lineage: Bacteria; Pseudomonadati; Pseudomonadota; Gammaproteobacteria; Enterobacterales; Enterobacteriaceae. The record is from RNAcentral.
UCAUCUUCGGGGGUAGAGCACUGUUUCGGCUAGGGGGUCAUCCCGACUUACCAACCCGAUGCAAACUACGAAUACCGAAGAAUGUUAUCACGGGAGACACACGGCGGGUGCUAACGUCCGUCGUGAAGAGGGAAACAACCCAGACCGCCAGCUAAGGUCCCAAAGUCAUGGUUAAGUGGGAAACGAUGUGGGAAGGCACAGACAGCCAGGAUGUUGGCUUAGAAGCAGCCAUCAUUUAAAGAAAGCGUAAUAGCUCACUGGUCGAGUCGGCCUGCGCGGAAGAUGUAACGGGGCUAAACCAUGCACCGAAGCUGCGGCAGCGACACUAUGUGUUGUUGGGUAGGGGAGCGUUCUGUAAGCCUGCGAAGGUGACCUGUGAGGGUUGCUGGAGGUAUCAGAAGUGCGAAUGCUGACAUAAGUAACGAUAAAGCGGGUGAAAAGCCCGCUCGCCGGAAGACCAAGGGUUCCUGUCCAACGUUAAUCGGGGCAGGGUGAGUCGACCCCUAAGGCGAGGCCGAAAGGCGUAGUCGAUGGGAAACAGGUUAAUAUUCCUGUACUUGGUGUUACUGCGAAGGGGGGACGGAGAAGGCUAUGUUAGCCGGGCGACGGUUGUCCCGGUUUAAGCAUGUAGGCUGGUUGUCCAGGCAAAUCCGGAUAAUCAAGGCUGAGGUGUGAUGACGAGGCACUACGGUGCUGAAGUAACAAAUGCCCUGCUUCCAGGAAAAGCCUCUAAGCAUCAGGUAACAUCAAAUCGUACCCCAAACCGACACAGGUGGUCAGGUAGAGAAUACCAAGGCGCUUGAGAGAACUCGGGUGAAGGAACUAGGCAAAAUGGUGCCGUAACUUCGGGAGAAGGCACGCUGGUGUGUAGGUGAAGUCCCUGCGGAUGGAGCUGAGACCAGUCGAAGAUACCAGCUGGCUGCAACUGUUUAUUAAAAACACAGCACUGUGCAAACACGAAAGUGGACGUAUACGGUGUGACGCCUGCCCGGUGCCGGAAGGUUAAUUGAUGGGGUUAUCCGUAAGGAGAAGCUCUUGAUCGAAGCCCCGGUAAACGGCGGCCGUAACUAUAACGGUCCUAAGGUAGCGAAAUUCCUUGUCGGGUAAGUUCCGACCUGCACGAAUGGCGUAAUGAUGGCCAGGCUGUCUCCACCCGAGACUCAGUGAAAUUGAACUCGCUGUGAAGAUGCAGUGUACCCGCGGCAAGACGGAAAGACCCCGUGAACCUUUACUAUAGCUUGACACUGAACAUUGAGCCUUGAUGUGUAGGAUAGGUGGGAGGCUUUGAAGCGUGGACGCCAGUCUGCGUGGAGCCAACCUUGAAAUACCACCCUUUAAUGUUUGAUGUUCUAACGUUGGCCCCUGACCGGGGUUGCGGACAGUGUCUGGUGGGUAGUUUGACUGGGGCGGUCUCCUCCCAAAGCGUAACGGAGGAGCACGAAGGUUAGCUAAUCCUGGUCGGACAUCAGGAGGUUAGUGCAAUGGCAUAAGCUAGCUUGACUGCGAGCGUGACGGCGCGAGCAGGUGCGAAAGCAGGUCAUAGUGAUCCGGUGGUUCUGAAUGGAAGGGCCAUCGCUCAACGGAUAAAAGGUACUCCGGGGAUAACAGGCUGAUACCGCCCAAGAGUUCAUAUCGACGGCGGUGUUUGGCACCUCGAUGUCGGCUCAUCACAUCCUGGGGCUGAAGUAGGUCCCAAGGGUAUGGCUGUUCGCCAUUUAAAGUGGUACGCGAGCUGGGUUUAGAACGUCGUGAGACAGUUCGGUCCCUAUCUGCCGUGGGCGCUGGAGAAUUGAGGGGGGCUGCUCCUAGUACGAGAGGACCGGAGUGGACGCAUCACUGGUGUUCGGGUUGUCAUGCCAAUGGCACUGCCCGGUAGCUAAAUGCGGAAGAGAUAAGUGCUGAAAGCAUCUAAGCACGAAACUUGCCCCGAGAUGAGUUCUCCCUGAGACUUUAAGUCUCCUGAAGGAACGUUAAAGACGAUGACGUUGAUAGGCCGGGUGUGUAAGCGCAGCGAUGCGUUGAGCUAACCGGUACUAAUGAACCGUGAGGCUUAACCUU